UGGGGUGUGGUGUAAUCGGUAGCACAACGGAUUCUGGUUCCGUUAGUUGGGGUUCGAGUCCCUGCACCCUAG
RNAcentral lists this transfer RNA (72 nucleotides) under Planctomycetales bacterium. Its description in RNAcentral is "tRNA-Gln". It matches the Rfam family "tRNA". Rfam says of the family: Transfer RNA (tRNA) molecules are approximately 80 nucleotides in length. Their secondary structure includes four short double-helical elements and three loops (D, anti-codon, and T loops). Further hydrogen bonds mediate the characteristic L-shaped molecular structure. tRNAs have two regions of fundamental functional importance: the anti-codon, which is responsible for specific mRNA codon recognition, and the 3' end, to which the tRNAs corresponding amino acid is attached (by aminoacyl-tRNA synthetases). tRNAs cope with the degeneracy of the genetic code in two manners: having more than one tRNA (with a specific anti-codon) for a particular amino acid; and 'wobble' base-pairing, i.e. permitting non-standard base-pairing at the 3rd anti-codon position. Lineage: Bacteria; Pseudomonadati; Planctomycetota; Planctomycetia; Planctomycetales. The record is from RNAcentral. RNAcentral also lists the same sequence under 1 other name.